CGAAAUGACUCGAAAAAAGAUUCGUUCAUUUUGCUGAACGAGACUCAAAGGUCCGAGUCAUUAAAAUGAUCCGAACUUCCCAUCACUACCGGUUUAGAGUGGGCGGGAUUAUUCACAUGUCGCUCUACUGCCGUGACUCCUGAAAAACGUUUUAAUCACGCUCUCGCUGGAUCUGCUCCUCGGCUAUCAAAGAGAGGACAGUCUGUACUUCCUCAAGAGACAACGAAACAGCCAUUUUUUGGUUGUUAAAAGAAAGGUGCACUCAUUCAAAACAGUCGCGUUACUUAGAUCCUUCGCUGGCUGCUGAUUUAAAUCUAGCGGGUCUGUUGUGUCUCGUGCGGCAAGUUCAAUGACGCAGGCAGUGACGAUUUUCUCCGGCCAAUCAGUGAUCAGCAGAGUUUACACGUCACGUUUUGGUAACGGUACAGUUCACUUGGAACCUCAGCCGAGGUGGUACUGAAAAAAAGUAACAGGUAGUGCAGCUGUACCCAGUGGAAAAGUGAACCGUACCUUGCCGUACCAUGCAGUGGAAAAGCGACCAUUAUAUGAAAGUCAUACAGGUUUGGAAAGACAUUAGUUCACGUCUUUAAUGAAAAAUCAGUGGGGAAGAGCAAAAUAAAUGGACACAUGAGCAGAGAGCGAGGGAUGAGGUAUGAAGAAAAAAGAAGAAUGGAUAGUGGCAGCUGGCAUGUGAUAUGUCUAAAGCGCAGGAUUUAACAGUGAGUGGAAAAGAGGAAUUCUAUUGGACCAACCUGUGGAUUGAGUGUCAGUUAACGCCAUUCCUUAAUGCCUGUCAACAGAGAGAGAGGGAGAAAGAGAAAUGAAUGAGAAACAGCGGAGAGGUGGAUGAGGUGAUGAGAUUUUGCGGUAUGGCGAAAUUGAAAAUGUGUGGGAGAGCACAAGAGAGGGAGUAUGAGGGAAGGACAGAUGAGUAAAGGAGGAGUUGGGUAACGAGAGCUGUU
Onychostoma macrolepis is the source of this 962-nucleotide long non-coding RNA. RefSeq lists it as uncharacterized. The record is from RefSeq and is a predicted model, not a curated record. The transcript has 3 exons. Lineage: Eukaryota; Metazoa; Chordata; Actinopteri; Cypriniformes; Cyprinidae.